GUGCCAGCAGCCGCGGUAAUACGUAGGUGGCAAGCGUUGUCCGGAAUUAUUGGGCGUAAAGCGCGCGCAGGCGGCUUCUUAAGUCUGAUGUGAAAUCUCGGGGCUCAACCCCGAGCGGCCAUUGGAAACUGGGGAGCUUGAGUGCAGAAGAGGAGAGUGGAAUUCCACGUGUAGCGGUGAAAUGCGUAGGGAUGUGGAGGAACACCAGUGGCGAAGGCGACUCUCUG
This 227-nucleotide ribosomal RNA is filed under the name uncultured bacterium. RNAcentral's name for it is "partial 16S rRNA". It matches the Rfam family "Bacterial small subunit ribosomal RNA", at positions 505 to 731 of the family's 1533-position model. The record is from RNAcentral.